CAUUUUCAGUAAAGAAGUCCUGAGUAAACACGUUGUCGUUGAAUACCGCUUCUCUGCCGAACCUUAUAUUAGUGCCUCAUGCAGUAAUGUCUCAGUUUUAUCUCAGUCAAGCCUGCGGGCUAAGAAAACACUCUAAGGAAUUUUGCAAAUGGCAAAGAUUAAAGGUCAAGUUAAGUGGUUCAACGAGUCUAAAGGUUUUGGUUUCAUUACUCCUGCUGACGGCAGCAAAGAUGUGUUCGUACACUUCUCUGCAAUCCAGGGUAAUGGCUUCAAAACUCUGGCUGAAGGCCAGAACGUUGAGUUCGAAAUUCAGGAUGGCCAGAAAGGCCCAGCUGCAGUUAACGUAACUGCUAU
Molecule: small RNA, 354 nt
Filed under: Enterobacter mori
Lineage: Bacteria; Pseudomonadati; Pseudomonadota; Gammaproteobacteria; Enterobacterales; Enterobacteriaceae
Description: cspA thermoregulator
Rfam family: cspA thermoregulator
Source: RNAcentral